UAAAAGGCUAUGAAAAAGACGAGUAAAUAAUCUAUUCUUUAUAGUGAUGAGCUGAUGGCAGUGAAAAAUCAGUAGACCCUGGAUUAUUGAAAAACACUUUUAGCAGCUCACCGAAAUAACAAUUCUUAAAGUAGGUUGAGACGUCUCCGGCACGUUACCACACCGGUGGGGCAUGAUUGUGCUCCAUAAAGAGGUCUAUAUAAUUAGACAAUGUGGGUGGUACCGCGGAAAGAAGCCUUUCGUCCCUGCA
RNAcentral lists this non-coding RNA (250 nucleotides) under Lactobacillus helveticus. Its description in RNAcentral is "T-box sequence". It matches the Rfam family "T-box leader". Rfam says of the family: Uncharged tRNA acts as the effector for transcription antitermination of genes in the T-box leader family. T-boxes are found upstream of many aminoacyl-tRNA synthetase genes and some amino acid biosynthetic genes usually in Gram-positive bacteria. The anticodon of a specific tRNA base pairs to a specifier sequence within the T-box motif, and the NCCA acceptor tail of the tRNA base pairs to a conserved bulge in the T-box antiterminator hairpin. The record is from RNAcentral. Lineage: Bacteria; Bacillati; Bacillota; Bacilli; Lactobacillales; Lactobacillaceae.